GGGGAAUGGGAGGAACGGCAGGCAACAUACGCGCCGAGUUCCGCAACUGCCGCCCCACAACCACUCCACAUGCCAGCGUCCCUUCCGCCGCUUUCAGUCUCCACUUCCGGCAACGCCUCCAUGCUGCUUCCUGCCUGGCACCACAUGCAAUGAGACGGCGUGAACACACAGUGAGAAGGUGGCUGUCAGCACGCCAUAAAGAGCGACCUCACCAGAACUCAACCAUGCUGGCACCCUGAUCUCGGACUUCCAGCCUCCAAAACUGUGAGAAAAUAAAUUUCUGUUGUGUAAGUCACCCAGUCUAUGGCAUUUCUUAUGUCAACCCAAGCAGACUAAGACACAGCCUUAGGAUAGCCUAGGGGUGUCAUUAUUAGAGAAAAUGGCAAUGUAAUGGUACAAAAUGAUACCAUUUUUGGUACAUACUAUUUUGCAAAAAGACCAUCCCACUGAAAAUUAGUAUUCAUUUUAACAAAAUGGUCAGCAUCUAGCUUGUUUUAUCUUACUCA
Molecule: long non-coding RNA, 506 nt
Organism: Chlorocebus sabaeus (green monkey)
Lineage: Eukaryota; Metazoa; Chordata; Mammalia; Primates; Cercopithecidae
Source: RefSeq, a predicted model, not a curated record